RNAcentral lists this small RNA (208 nucleotides) under Bos taurus (domestic cattle). Lineage: Eukaryota; Metazoa; Chordata; Mammalia; Artiodactyla; Bovidae. The record is from RNAcentral.
UCAGGGGUUAAUAUUGUUGCUAAAUCCCCUUGCGGUUUCGCUUUUCUCCUAGCCUGGGUGAGACCCCCCCCUGAGGGGGUUUUCUCUAAGAAGCAUGCUCUGCAUAUUGUGCACGCAGUCUGUUUUAAAAGCUCCACUGUUCAAAAAACUUUUUAUCUUCCUCAGGCUUAGGCAACGCUUUGAGAGGCUUUGGGGGCAAAGUGGGGAA